UUGAGAUCAUCAAGUCUUUCUUUGAUGAUAAUUUGGUCACAGUUAAACUGACAGUAAUGAGAACUACAGAGCAUUCACUAAUCACUUUUCAUUAACACUGUUGGCUUUGUUUUAAUUAGCUGUUCUGAAUGACACCAGUGUUUCUGUCACACUGUAUUCCUUAGCUUACAUUAUCCAACUGUUGUGUUUACCUUAUACUGUACAUCUGUUUUACAUUUAGUUGUUAAAAAUAUUUAAGAAUUUUUCGAUGAGGACAUUUUUUUGUUGCAAAAAGUCACACAAAACACAGGGUUAUUAUAUAAGUUUUACAUUUAUUUAUAAAACAUAUUUACAGUAUGUUAAUUUGAAUCAUUUGCAUAUGUAAACACAAUUUGCAUGCAUGUAUACCUUUAAGAAUUGCAUGCAAUCAAGUGAGAAAUCUGUAUUAUGGCUAUAAAAAACCAAAACAAAAUCCCUUAAGACUGCAACAUUAACUACAUCCACUGUUGAAAAGUGUUGAAAAAAAUUAGUAUGAAACUAUUUUUUUAGAGCUUUUCAAAACUGUGAAAUAUUAAAUCUGUUCCAUCAGUGGUAUAAAUGGCAACAUUUCAAUGACAAAAUGAAAAUGACAUUUUGGCUUGAGGCUGGAACUUAAUGAAAGUAUAUUGAGCACCCAAAUUAAAAGGAUUUGUGCUGUAGGGGAGUAUAAGUAAAUGUGCUCAAUAAAUCUGUUGAAUUCUUUUGAUCAAGAUCAUUCUUGUGUGAUGUGUUCCUUUUCUUUCUUCUUUUUGCUGACGGUUCCAGUAGAUGAGAAUCCAGAAGGAGAAGCUGACCAAAUGACUGAACAGCAAAAGUCUCUGCAAACAGAACAGUGAGAGAUCAUAACAGCACAUGUAUGUAUCAAUUUAUAGCAAAUUUGACCAGCCUGGUUCAAGACCUUAACAAAUUGGUUCUCUGUUGAGUUUGUGACCAUUUUAAACUGCAUAAAGAAUGAAGUCUUUAAAAGGCUGACCCAUCAACAUAAAACCACACUGAAAACACUUCCUCAAAUCAAGAGCAGCUUUUUCUUUAGAAAAUAACGUGAAAGCAACUCAUCACAUUUGAGAAACAACAGAUCCCACAGGACAGACACUGAGGCACGAAUAAUACA
Long non-coding RNA from Oreochromis aureus, 1129 nucleotides. The record is from Ensembl. Lineage: Eukaryota; Metazoa; Chordata; Actinopteri; Cichliformes; Cichlidae.